RNAcentral lists this ribosomal RNA (495 nucleotides) under uncultured bacterium. RNAcentral describes it as "partial 16S ribosomal RNA". It matches the Rfam family "Bacterial small subunit ribosomal RNA", at positions 28 to 507 of the family's 1533-position model. The record is from RNAcentral.
GACGAACGCUGGCGGCGUGCCUAAUACAUGCAAGUAGAACGCUGAAGGAGGAGCUUGCUUCUCUGGAUGAGUUGCGAACGGGUGAGUAACGCGUAGGUAACCCGCCUGGUAGCGGGGGAUAACUAUUGGAAACGGUAGCUAAUACCGCAUAAUAGUAGAUGUUGCAUGACAUUUGCUUAAAAGGUGCAAUUGCAUCACUACCAGAUGGACCUGCGUUGUAUUAGCUAGUUGGUGGGGUAACGGCUCACCAAGGCGACGAUACAUAGCCGACCUGAGAGGGUGAUCGGCCACACUGGGACUGAGACACGGCCCAGACUCCUACGGGAGGCAGCAGUAGGGAAUCUUCGGCAAUGGACGGAAGGCUGACCGAGCAACGCCGCGUGAGUGAAGAAGGGUUUCGGAUCGUAAAGCUCUGUUGUAAGAGAAGAACGAGUGUGAGGGUGGAAAGUUCACACUGUGACGGUAGCUUACCAGAAAGGGACGGCUAACUACGUG